GUCCUUUAAGCAGUAUCCCAUAUGCAAAUAUAUCUGUUUUGAUGCUUGUAGGUUUGCCGAAGAACAAUUCUUUUGCCAUGUGGGGAUAUUUUAAUUUCGCGUUUUGGAGUUCCUUUUCGUUUUUUUACAAUUAGGCAACUAUGACAUGGGCUACUUAUUAUACUCGAUUUCCCAAAAUCAAUUAUUUUAGGCACAAUAUUAGAGUUCUGUCUUAUGAUUAAAACAUAUUAGAUUUAAUGUCUCCAUGCAAAUAGCUACAUUGGUGAAUAUGAUCAAGUCCUUCACAGAUAUUUCCAGCUACUUGUAGCAAUUUUCUGUCAUUUUUCAAUAUAUUAUCGUCCUUUAAGCAGUCCUUAAUGUCCUUUAAGCAGUAUCCCAUAUGCAAAUAUAUCUGUUUUGAUGCUUGUAGGUUUGCCGAAGAACGAUGCUUUUGCCAUGUGGGGAUAUUUUAAUUUUGCGUUUUCGAGUUCUUUUUCGUUUUUUACAAUUAGGCAACUAUGACACGGGCUACUUAUUAUACUCAAUUUCCCAAAAUCAAUUAUUUUAGGCACAAUAUUAGAGUUCUGUCUUAUGAUUAAAACAUAUUAGAUUUAAUGUCUCCAUGCAAAUAGCUACAUUGGUGAAUAUGAUCAAGUCCUUCACAGAUAUUUCCAGCUACUUGUAGCAAUUUUCUGUCAUUUUUCAAUAUAUUAUCGGAUGUUGAAACUGCAGGAAUGGAACCGGAGGAUGAGUGAUCAUUGUUCCCACUGCCACGACAACUACGAGUAUAUUUCUUAAGAUAAUAUUGCAAUGUUGUCGACAAAGACCCAUAAAAUUCUGAAAUUAUUAAAAAUGGCCUACGUUCAGUGUGCCCUAACAUUUAAAACAGUAAUAAGUUCACGAACAACUUCCUCCUCUGAGCAGUUUUUGUAUUUCUUAACUGCUAC
Non-coding RNA from Paramuricea clavata, 926 nucleotides. The record is from the annotation of a GenBank genome assembly. Lineage: Eukaryota; Metazoa; Cnidaria; Anthozoa; Malacalcyonacea; Plexauridae.